UUUUCACUUGUUUGUGUGUGCGAAGUGUUUUUUCUAAUUCAAGGUCUAUAGGUUCAAGAUUAGGUAAUAAUGACCUACGACUAUGCAUGCAAAAUAAAAUAAAAAUAAAAAUAAAGAUGGGAACAAAACAAAUAAAAAUAAAUAAGAGGGAGAAAUUACGAUACUAACCUUAUUGCGCUAUUACAACCUUACUAUAAAAAUACACAAAAAUAAAUACGUGAAAUAAAUUAACUAAAAAUUAAAUUAAUAAGAUAAACAAAAAUUACAAAGAAAAAUAAAUUAAAAAUUAAAUUACAGAAUUUUAAAGAAGAGAAAAAGAAAAGAAAUACUAACCUUUAAAUGCAGAUUCACUUUUUUUUUUUAAUAAAAAAAAUACAAGAAAACAAUUUAAAAGAAAUUAUUCACAAAAAUUAAUUCUAUGAAUUAAAAUUACUUACCUCCCCGGCAACGGCGCCAAAAACUUGUUGUGCAAAUUUUAAUGUACUCGCAAGCGCACGAAUCUAUUGUAGUAUAGACUAAUGGUGACGAGUGUCGAUCCCAC
RNAcentral lists this long non-coding RNA (541 nucleotides) under Citrus sinensis (sweet orange). RNAcentral describes it as "long non-coding RNA (CSIN_LNC005576)". The record is from RNAcentral. Lineage: Eukaryota; Viridiplantae; Streptophyta; Magnoliopsida; Sapindales; Rutaceae.